This 253-nucleotide ribosomal RNA is filed under the name uncultured bacterium. RNAcentral describes it as "partial 16S ribosomal RNA". It matches the Rfam family "Bacterial small subunit ribosomal RNA", at positions 524 to 776 of the family's 1533-position model. The record is from RNAcentral.
UACAGAGGGGGCAAGCGUUGUUCGGAAUUACUGGGCGUAAAGGGCGCGUAGGCGGCCUGCUAAGUCGAACGUGAAAUCCCCGAGCUCAACUCGGGAACUGCGUCCGAUACUGGCAGGCUUGAAUCCGGGAGAGGGAUGCGGAAUUCCAGGUGUAGCGGUGAAAUUCGUAGAUAUCAGGAGGAGCACCAGUGGCGAAGGCGGCUUCCUGGACACCAACUGACGCUGAGACGCGAAAGCGUGGGGAGCAAACAGG